UACCAAAAAAAAUCUUGCUAAUCCCUGGUCUGUAUGGUCCCUUUACAGAUGAGAAACUUCGUUUUUUAGAAAGGUGAAAUAAUUACCCAAGGCCACACAGAGAGUAACAAGUGACAAGUCUUGGUUCCAGGACUAAUUUUCUACCCCUGGUCUUAAAACUAGCUCUGUUGUUUUACAUUAUGUUUAGAGGGAACUUUCCCUUUGACUUAAGCACAAACUUGACCCAUCCAUAGCUUGUUCUAAGGGGUUUGUGACGUGCCUUCUAUAUUGCCUACAGCCCUAUAUGUGCUCCAUCUUGCCUCCCCUUAUGCUUAUAUAAAGACAAGGGUGGGGAAUGGGGAGGCAUCAGGUUCUUUGCCCACUCCCGAGUUUCCAAAGCAGCAGAGGGUCAAGGGCUGGGAGAGGUCUGACAAUCCAAAGAAGAGCCUGCUGAGGCGGAAACGCGUUCUUUGUCUUGGAGCUUCCGGAUACCAGCUGUGGGGGAAGGGAGCGAACUCUGCGUUUUCUUUCCGGAGGAAAACAUGGCCGGAGGUUUCCAGGUAACCCUUGAAAGGAAAAUGAAUAAUCUUAGCAGAAACACAUAGGCAGAAAUCAUCUUCUAAAUAGCUUUGGACAACACCAGGAAUGAUGAUUGGCAUAAUUUCUACUCUGGAAGGCUUCACAGAGGUGCAUUCUUUAUAGUCUGAGCCACCAGAGAAGUCCAGG
This is a long non-coding RNA of Odocoileus virginianus texanus, 705 nucleotides long. RefSeq lists it as uncharacterized. The record is from RefSeq and is a predicted model, not a curated record. Lineage: Eukaryota; Metazoa; Chordata; Mammalia; Artiodactyla; Cervidae.